This 365-nucleotide long non-coding RNA is filed under the name Ananas comosus (pineapple). Its description in RNAcentral is "long non-coding RNA (ACOM_LNC011330)". The record is from RNAcentral. Lineage: Eukaryota; Viridiplantae; Streptophyta; Magnoliopsida; Poales; Bromeliaceae.
UUCUCGUGCCUACUAGACAUUCUCGUUAGAUCUACUAGACAUACUUGUUUGGUGCUACUAAGUUUUUGGCCAUUGGAUUAAGAGAUGUAUGGUUAGGAUGAUGUGGGCCCCCUAGGGUUGAGUGGGUUGUUGGUUGAAUAGUAUGAUCUAACGGGUAAAAAUGAUCAAAAUGGUAGAUCUAACGGCGGAAAACUUGGUAGCACCAAGUGCUUCGUGCUAUUAAUAGCAUAGUAGCCGGACUCUAUAUAUAUAUAUAUAUAUAUAUAUAUAUAUAUAUAUUGAGAAAACAGGAAUAUACUCUAUUUGUACAGCGCAUUUGGAGUGAUAUAUGAAAUUUCAAAAAUUAAAUUUCGCUCAGUUUAUUU